UACGUAGGUGGCGAGCGUUGUCCGGAAUUACUGGGCGUAAAGGGCGUGUAGGCGGCUUUUUAAGUCAGAUGUGAAAACCCUGGGCUUAACCCAGGAACUGCAUUUGAAACUGGAAGGCUUGAGGACCGGAGAGGGCAGUGGAAUUCCCAGUGUAGCGGUGAAAUGCGUAGAUAUUGGGAGGAACACCAGUGGCGAAGGCGACUGCCUGGACGGCACCUGACGCUGAGGCGCGAAAGCUAGGGGAGCAAACGGG
RNAcentral lists this ribosomal RNA (253 nucleotides) under uncultured bacterium. RNAcentral describes it as "partial 16S ribosomal RNA". It matches the Rfam family "Bacterial small subunit ribosomal RNA", at positions 524 to 776 of the family's 1533-position model. The record is from RNAcentral.